GUGACCUCAAAUCAGGUAGGACUACCCGCUGAACUUAAGCAUAUCAAUAAGCGGAGGAAAAAGAAACUAACAAGGAUUCCCCUAGUAACUGCGAGAGAAGCGGGAAAAG
RNAcentral lists this ribosomal RNA (109 nucleotides) under uncultured Dermocybe. RNAcentral's name for it is "partial 28S ribosomal RNA". It matches the Rfam family "Eukaryotic large subunit ribosomal RNA", at positions 1 to 107 of the family's 3401-position model. Lineage: Eukaryota; Fungi; Basidiomycota; Agaricomycetes; Agaricales; Cortinariaceae. The record is from RNAcentral.